GAUGAAGAACGUAGCGAAAUGCGAUAAGUAAUUUGAAUUGCAGAAUUCAGUGAAUCAUCGAAUCUUUGAACGCACAUUGCGCCCGUCAGUAUUCUGGCGGGCAUGCCUGUUCGAGCGUCAUUACGCCCCUCAAGUCCCCUGUGGACUUGGUGUUGGGGAUCGGCGAGGCUGGUUUUCCAGCACAGCCGUCCCUUAAAUUAAUUGGCGGUCUCGCCGUGGCCCUCCUCUGCGCAGUAGUAAAACACUCGCAACAGGAGCCCGGCGCGGUCCACUGCCGUAAAACCCCCCAACUUUUUAUAGUUGACCUCGAAUCAGGUAGGACUACCCGCUGAACUUAAGCAUAUCAAUAAGCGGAGGA
Molecule: unclassified non-coding RNA, 358 nt
Filed under: soil metagenome
Description: partial contains 5.8S ribosomal RNA, internal transcribed spacer 2, and large subunit ribosomal RNA
Rfam family: 5.8S ribosomal RNA (bases 1-120)
Source: RNAcentral